GGAUAUCAUGGUUCACCAACCCUUCAGCCAUCCACAACUGCAUCAACUUAGAGACUGGAGUUCGUUUGCUCUUUCGAGAUCUUGCAAAGUAAAGCAACAACGGCUUCAGGUGGUAUGGUAAGUGGUCAUAACUUAAUUGCAUAACCUUCAUCAUCUGCAAAUUGAUGUUGGCAGAAAUAAAGGAAUCCAAAUUAUCUUGAAUAUUAAGCCACAAAUCAUUUUCCAUUUUCUUUCCUCUAACAAUUACUCCAGCAAUCAAAACAACAGCCAAAGGAAGCCCCUGACAUUUGUCAACUAUUUGGUGUCCAACUUCUGACAGUUCAGCAGGGCAGCUUCCUUCUCCAAAUACCCUUUUUNNNNNNNNNNNNNNNNNNNNNNNNNNNNNNNNNNNNNNNNNNNNNNNNNNNNNNNNNNNNNNNNNNNNNNNNNNNNNNNNNNNNNNNNNNNNNNNNNNNNNNNNNNNNNNNNNNNNNNNNNNNNNNNNNNNNNNNNNNNNNNNNNNNNNUCUUUUCCUCCCGAGCCAGUAACUUGUAGAAGAAUCUCCCGCAACACCUUUGACUUGUUAUACUUUUGGGAAACAGUGCACCAAGCACGAACAUUGAAAUGAGUAGCAACUAAUGUAUUGUUAUACACUUUGUUGGCCAGAAUAGUUUUACCGAGUCCUGGCAUUCUGACAAUCGAAAUGACAUCAAGCUCGGAUUCAUGUUUAUCAAGGAGCUGGUCAAUCAUCUUGGCUUCAUCUUCUUCAUGACCUACUGUUACCUCAACAAAAGAUGAUGAGGUUGACUCAAUUGGCUCGACGGAAGACUUUGCAUCAAUAGGGUCAUCCCCAUUCUUAUCCUCCAGCUGUAAACUGGUGACUUCUGCCACGAUAAGCUUGAUCUUAUCAGUGACACUCGGAAGUGAGAAAAGGAGAUGCGAGAGAGCAUUAUCUCUGACAAGAAUGGAAUUAAUGACAUGUUCUGCCUCAUAUGCCACAUCUAAAGCACACACCCAACAAUCUUUAACUACUCCACUGGUGUCAUCCAAUGUUUGCCUGAAAGAUGAUGUUAGGUAUUCAAGGCUUUGUUUCACUAUUCCAAUUUCUUUCUUUAUGAGAGAAACUGAAUAAGCAUUGGAAAUGAGCAAAUCAUUUAAAUGUCUGAGUAGAAGAUUCAUGAAGAGGAAACCAUCAUCCAUAGGAAAGCAGAGUUGAGAUGACUGAUCCGGGGCUUUCAAAAAAUUCUGUUUGAUAUCUCCCUUCAUUCGUUCAAUUUCUUGCAACAAGUCUGGAGCUGAAAAGUCUGCUUCAUUCAUAUUAGAGCUCUCCUCCAUGAGAAUAGAUAGAUUCCUUGUAAGUAGUCCGACAUGUGCCAACAUAUCGUUCAAUUUGUCAGGAUGGAUAAAGCGCUUUGGUAUAUCGGUGAGAAAGAUCAAUAGGAACUCGAUCAUGGCAUUAAUACUUUGAGUUUGAGAGUAAUUGACAGCUACCAUGCGUCCUUGGAGAUGAAUGAGAUAAUUUUGAAGAAUCUUUGGAGAUGCUUUUAGGAUUUGCUUCACUAACCGUUUUAGUUGAUGAGUUGACUUUGAUUCUUUGAUGAGCUUAGAAGUAGAAAUGUAUAGAACCUCCAGCUCAAGAGGGAUUAUGUCGAUCAGUAGAGAAGUGACGUUGGAAGAGUAUUCAGAGACUUUGGAUGAGGGAUUAUAGUUUCCAGUCCAAAUAGCAAAAUGGAAUUGUAGAAAUGUAUGGGCGAUGAAUUGGAAGCGAGGAAAGAGAUAUUGAGUGGUAGUUGUUUUGUUGGCCAGGAGGAUAGGAUAGAAAUCUGUCAGACGACGAAAUACUUGGCGAAGAGUGUUGUAGUCAGUCAUCUGCGAGAGAAUCAAAUCAGAAGAAUAGUUUGGUAGAUCAUGGAGGUUUGUGAAGAGGUAUUCAAACAUUUUCUCCUCUGUGGUCAUUGCUACAUAAUUAUCAUUCUUCAAACUUAAAUAACUUUCCAUCUCCUCCAGCAGCAGAGGGACAAGACUAUCCAUGUUGGGACUAUCAGAGAGUUAACACACGAAAUAAGAUUCAUAACUAACAAAUAACAUGUCUUUGAACAAUACAUAGAUAUAUAGUCAAAGCUUAACUACUCCAAAUAAAACAAAUUACUAAUGAGGCAAAGCAAUACACAAUUUACAUGAAAGAAAACACUCAAAACAUUAAGUUAAAACAUCUCCAGAACAAGUUUGUUUAUUGGAAGCAGUAAUCAGAUGAAAUCAGAUGGAAGCGUUGCGUUGUUUUCUUUCUUCAUUGUUGUUCUAUCCUUUGUGUAUUCUGCAAAUUAUAUAUGUAAGUAUAUGAAGUGUAUAUGUAUGGAGGGGUAAAGAUGUAAGAAAUUAAUUACCUCUUCUUGACUUUGUUAGCAAUGGAAUAUAUGGACAUGAAGUCUGUCCUCUCCUGCGAAAUCAAUUACAUCUUUCUUAAUCUCCAUGGCUGAAUCUACAACCUGACUGUUAAUAUUUGUUAAAUGAAUGAACUUUAAAGUGUCUAUAUCCGCGAAUGCACAAGGGAUCUCCAUAAACUCCUCACAGUAUUCUACUAUUAAUUCCUCAAGCUUGGGAAAAGUUCCCUUAUCAACUUCCCAUUCUGAAAGGUUGACCUCUCGCAAACUCAAAGUCUUAAGACUUUGAUACAUGUCCUCACUUGCAUCCCACUUAUCCUCCACGAAAUCAGAGUAGAUAAUCGCCAGGAUUUCAAGGUGAGGCAAUGCCGCGAUUGCUGACAACAAAGCAGGUCUCAUGUGAAAUAAAUUCAACCGUAACUCUUUCAAGCUGCUAGGGAAGUGAUAUUCAUUGGGACGUGUUAUUUGGUAGAUUAACUCGGUGUGAAAUAAGAACUCUUUGGGCAUCCUGUAUAUUGCAAAGAGUGAUUUAGUGAUUCAAGUUUAUUAAGAACAUCAAGCUUGGGAAACCAAUCGCCGUGUGUAGGAGUAAGAGGGUACCGCGGUUCCACAAUGAUGCGAUGAAGGUGCUGAAGAUUCGGGAACUUCUCCAGAGCAUCACUCGUGGCUUCAGUGUAUGAGAUAAAAACUUUGGAUAAAGUUGUCAAGUCUUCUAACUUUGGUUGAUUCAUAAUAUUGUCCGCAUCCUCUUCCUCUUCAAAGAAAGAACUCGUGUCAAUUUUCACAUGUUUCAGCUUUGACAGUUUUAAUAUUCUGGGCAGUAAUACCAUGGUGGAAUAUCCAGUACUGAUCAACAGAGUUUCCAGAUUCUGGAGGUUCAACCACGACACUGGGAUAGCUUUUACACCUCGAGUCCGAAUCCUUAAGAACCUCAAAUAAAAUAGGGAGCCUAUUUCUUCCAUUAAAGAAUCAUUCAACUCAAUGCUAUCCAGUUGCAAUCCUCUAACAAGUCCAAAGGGUUUUGUGUGAUAGAUAUAGCUGGAGUGGAGAAGUGAACCGCUAACUUUCAAAGAUAUGAGAUGCUUACUACCAACUGAACACUUUUUAGACUUGAACAAAACACAUUUUUUGUGGAGUUGGUUGUUGUCAGUACGAAUGGUUAGACGAUGGUGUAGGAAAUAAGAAGCAUGAAAUCGAGCACCUAUAUUGAUUAACUUGAGAAACUUUUCCUUUUUGGCUUUUACUGAACAAAAAUCGUGCACAACAUCAUGCACAUAGCAAACCUUGAUCCUAACAGAAAAAGGCAUAUUCUUCUUGUAGAGCAUAUGAUCCACCAUUAUCAGGCUACUGGAAACUAAAGCAUCCAAGUAUCUUUGAGUUGCUUCCUCUAAACUACACUUGGAUGGGAUAUCAUGGUUCACCAACCCUUCAGCCAUCCACAACUGCAUCAACUUAGAGACUGGAGUUCGUUUGCUCUUUCGAGAUCUUGCAAAGUAAAGCAACAACGGCUUCAGGUGGUAUGGUAAGUGGUCAUAACUUAAUUGCAUAACCUUCAUCAUCUGCAAAUUGAUGUUGGCAGAAAUAAAGGAAUCCAAAUUAUCUUGAAUAUUAAGCCACAAAUCAUUUUCCAUUUUCUUUCCUCUAACAAUUACUCCAGCAAUCAAAACAACAGCCAAAGGAAGCCCUUGACAUUUGUCAACUAUUUGGUGUCCAACUUCUGACAGUUCAGCAGGGCAGCUUCCUUCUCCAAAUACCCUUUUUNNNNNNNNNNNNNNNNNNNNNNNNNNNNNNNNNNNNNNNNNNNNNNNNNNNNNNNNNNNNNNNNNNNNNNNNNNNNNNNNNNNNNNNNNNNNNNNNNNNNNNNNNNNNNNNNNNNNNNNNNNNNNNNNNNNNNNNNNNNNNNNNNNNNNNNNNNNNNNNNNNNNNNNNNNNNNNNCAACUUGCUGAAGAAUCUCCCGCAACACCUUUGACUUGUUAUACUUUUGGGAAACAGUGCACCAAGCACGAAUCUUGAAAUGACUAGCAACUAAUGUAUUGUUAUACACUUUGUUGGCCAGAGUAGUUUUAUCGAGUCCUGGCAUUCCGACAAUAGAAAUGACAUCAAGUUCGGAUUCAUGUUUAUCAAGGAGCUGGUCAAUAAUCUUGGCUUCAUCUUCUUCAUGACCUACUGUUACCUCAACAAAAGAUGAUGAGGUUGACUCAAUUGGCUCGACGGAAGACUUUGCAUCAAGAGGGUCAUCCCCAUUCUUAUCCUCCAGCUGUAAACUGGUCACUUCUGCCACGAUAAGCUUGAUCUUAUCAGUGACACUCGGAAGUGAGAAAAGGAGAUGCGAGAGAGCAUUAUCUCUGACAAGAAUGGAAUUAAUGACAUGUUAUGCCUCAUAUGCCACAUCUAAAGCACGCACCCAACAAUCUUUAACUACUCCACUAGUAUUGUCAUCCAAUGUUUGCCUGAAAGAUGAUGUUAGGAAUUCAAGGCUUUGUUUCACUAUUCAAAUUUCUUUCUUUAUGAGAGAAACUGAAUAAGCAUUGGAAAUGAGCAAAUCAUUUAAAUGUCUGAGUAGAAGAUUCAUGAAGAGGAAACCAUCAUCCAUAGGAAAGCAAAGUUGAGAUGACUGAUCCGGGGCUUUCAAAAAUUCUGUUUGAUAUCUCCCUUCAUUCGUUCAAUUUCUUGCAACAAGUCUGGACUAGCUGAAAAGCCUGCUUCAUUGAUAUUAUUCUCAGAGCUCUCCUCCAACAGAAUAGAUAUCUUCCUUGUAAGUAGUGCGACAUGUGCCAACAUAUCGUUCAAUUUGUUAGGAUGGAUAAAGCGCUUUGGUAUAUCGGUGAGAAAGAUCAAUAGGAACUCGAUCAUGACAUUGAAACUUUGAGUUUGAGAGUAAUUGACAGCUACCAUGCGUCCUUGGAGAUGAAUGAGAUAAUUUUGAAGAAUCUUUGGAGAUGCUUUUAGGAUUUGCUUGACAAACCGUUUUAGUUGAUGAGUUGACGUUGAUUCUUUGAUGAGCUUAGAAGUAGAAAUGUAUAGAACUUCCAGCUCAAGAGGGAUUAUGUUGAUCAGUAGAGAAGUGACAUUGGAAGAGUAUUCAGAGACUUUGGAUGAGGGAUUAUAGUUUCCAGUCCAAAUAGCAAAAUAGAAUUGUAGAAAUGUAUGGGCGAUGAAUUGGAAGCGAGGAAAGAGAUAUUGAGUGGUAGUUGUUUUGUUGGCGAGGAGGAUAGGAUAGAAAUCUGUCAGACGACGGAAUACUUGGCGAAGAAUGUUGUAGUCAGUCAUCUGCGAGAGAGUCAAAUAGUUUGGUAGAUCAUGGAGGUUUGUGAAGAGGUAUUCAAACAUUUUCUCCUCUGUGGUCAUUGCUACAUAAUUAUCAUUCUUCAAACUUAAAUAACUUUCCAUCUCCUCCAGCAGCAGAGGGACAAGACUAUCCAUGUUGUAUUUCUCUAGAGUUACUUCAUCAUUAAGUAGUGACCGAGUCAUAAAACUGAACUUGUUUAUUUUGUUGGACAUCCUCUCAUAAAAGUCAUCCAAACUUGAAUCCCCAAACAGGACAAAUGUUCUUAGGAAUCUCAGAUUCAUUCUUAGCUUUUUAUUGGCACGCCAAUUUGAAUGUCUCAAUACUUCGUCAUUCAUUAUUUUCUUCAAGCCAUUUGAGCAAUCAUCAAUAAGAUUCCUGAUUCUUCUUCUUUUUUCCUCCUAAAUUAAAACAUAAUAUGUAAUUGUUAUCAUUGUUGUUGUUGUUGUUUCAAUAGAGACAAUAACUAAAGAAAUCAAAAUUUAGUAAGACUUGGACAAAUUGAAUUAGCCUAAAUACCCGAUUCUCAGUUUUUCAUGUGUGUUAGCCCAUUAAUAUUUUGGUGAUAUAACUUUCGGACCAUUUUUUAAAAAAAACUUCAUGGACCCUCCGUAAUGAGUUGUGGGAACAGUACGCAUAGUCUCACUAUGAUCCAUGACAUUUUUUGGCAUUUAGAACCCAUUUAACAAGAAUUAAAUCAUUUUCUUAGUUUUUUUGUGUAUUAAGUCCAUGAAUAUUUUGGUGAUAUGAUUUCUGAGCGAUUUUUUGAAGAAACUUUACGUGACCCUCCGUUAUGAGUCGAGAGUGUAGUACGCAUAGCCUCACCACUUACCCGGAUCGGUUAAGCUCCCAAAAACAAGAAAGUGUGGCGCCACAGGUUCGAUCAACCAUGGGAGUAGGCAUCUUUGAGGAAGGAGAACAGGGGAAUCGUUUGGUCUAAGCAGAUGCUUUCCUUUUCCAGAUUCAUCUGAGAGAUUUUUGGUGUUGUCUUUUUUUUUUUUUUUUAAAUAUUAUUAUUUUAAGGGAAAAUUGUAUAUAAUAGCAAACUAUUAAUUCAAAUUAAAUGUUAUAACCACAAUUUGAUUUAAUAGUAACCCGUAGCAAACAAUUGUCAUUCGCCUCUCUCCCUAGGUUUCUCGCUCGCCAGUCUUGCCAUUCUCUCCCUCACCUCUCUCGCUUUUAUACAAACACAAAUGUAUAAAAUGUGUUUGUGUUUGUAUAAAGCGAGAGAAAACUGUAUAUACAAAUAUGAAUACAUAUAUUUUCGUCCUAUACACUUAUAAUUAUACAAAUACAGAUCUUCCUCUGCACAGUUCUCUUUUGCCUUUCUCGCUUUAUAAAAACACAGAUUAUACAAAUUACAGUGUAUAAUUUGUGUUGUAUAAAGCGAGAGAGAGAGAUUUGAUAUACACAUGUUUUAUUUCGAUUCAAUUGUAUACAAAUUCAAAUUUUAUGCAGAUAUAUAAACACAUUGAAUUGAGAGGCUGCCAAUGAUUUAUUCAAACAAAAGGCUGCCAACGAUUUAUACAAAUGGCCUGCCAGUGAAAUUAUACAAAUCUGAAGCUCCUGCCAGCGAGUUAUACAAUCUGAUGCUCCAUAACAAACAUACAAUUUGUUAUAGAGCGCAAUUAUACAAACUAUAGCUAUAACAUACAAAUAUGAUUUUUAUGUUUGCUAUAUAUGAAAGUUACUCUUAUUUUAACUUACUUGGGCUGGCCACUUUUGGGCUUGACACAUUUUGGCUUUAGCUUUGAACCUUUGUGUUCAUAUUAAAUAAAAUGGCCCCAUGGGUUAUUAUUGAAAGAAAAAAAAAAAGAACUUAAGCUCUAACACGCACACAACAAGGGACCUGAUAGAGCUAUUAAGGGCAUCUUUUAUGUGUUGUUGUCUAAAUGAUUGUAAUGUGCUGAUAUUGUAAGCAUUUAUAAAGAAAUGUAUCAAUUUUGUCAGUUGUGUACCAAAUACAAAGCACAAUUAGAGUUAAUUGUGCGAAUUGUAAGUGAAGUCUAUAUUAAUUAGAGUUAGUUAAUAUAGUGGAAAAUGGAGACAUUGCUUUGGCUUAGCUAAGUAAUAGAGUUAUUAUUUGUAGUGAGAUUAGGAGUUUAGUCUCACGUGGUGUACUUGAAGUCUGUAUUCACUUGUUGCUUGAUAGUAGUGAAAACAGUUGGAAAUCCUGUGAGUACAGAUCGUGGUUUUACUCCCUUGAGCAAGGAGGUUUCCACGUAAAAAUCACUUGCCUUUACUGUUCUUUAUAUCUCUUUUACUGCAUUCCAGUAUACCUCGACAUGGUACUAUAGUACACUGUGAGGUAGCACAUCUCAACAAGGAGCAGUACAUAUAAACUCAUCAUGAUCCACGAUACUUUUGGGGUACACAAUCAAUCGAAAAUAUGUACACAAUCAAUCGAAAAGACAAAUAUGACUUACCAGUUCCCAUUUCUUAAUGAGUUUUAAUUGGGGUACCCUUUUAAUUGUUAAUCUUUUUAGCUUCGGUCAUUAAAUAUAUUCAUUCACAACUUUUCAUGUACAUAGUCUCUCUUCCUUUAUAAAUUUGACAAAAAAUUAUUAAUUUACAGCACUUUUUAGCUUCAUCAUCUUAUAAUUCUUAUAUAAUUUUGUUAUUUAUCGGCCAUUCUUUUUUUUUUUCUUAUUAAUAUAUUCAUUUUGUAUGAUAUGACGACAAAUAUAUUGUGUUGCUUUUCACGUUAAUUGACUUGAUUAUAAAUGUUUUCCCUUUUAACUUUCAUUCUAUAUUUCAAUUUUUAUGAUUUUUUUCUUUUAAUUUGUCAUUCUUAUAAAUUAAUACAACAUGUAAUAUUGGAUACAAGUUUUUAUUGUACUGUCCAAUUAUUCAUAUAUACACAUUGUAAUCAUCAGUUUGUUAUUUUAUGGGAUUUUAUCAGCUCAAGUAUAUUAUCUAACCCCUUAGACAAUUUUAACAUAUCAUAUGGUGUUAUCAUUGUUUUAAUUUGUUUCUAUGAUUAUUGAAUGUUGUUUAAAGAUUUUAGCAUAAGUAUUUUUUAUAAAAAAAUCUUAUAAGUAAUUGAGGCCAAACAUGCAACACAUAUUCUCAAAAUAAUUGUUACAAAAAUAAUGUAAAACUAAUAAUUGCUAGAAAAAUAAGUAUAAUUUAUAUGUAAAACUUAAUUACUAAUAAUUUGGAGCAUGUAAAAGUAUUGAUAGACAUACCGAUGACUUUCCUUCUUUUUCCAUUGAAUCUCCAACCUCGAACCAGCCUUCAAUUUCUAAAGAAUUGAUUUUUCAACUUAUGAUCACAUGCACAUUAAAUUAGGAUAAAAAUUAGAAGAUAGUAAUCACAUGCGCACAAGUAAAAGAAAAUGCAAAAUAAUUAUUCCUAGUAAUUUACGGUUUUAAGUAAAUAAAUGAAUUGGUGAAAGUAAUAAAUAGCAUGUCAAAAUAUAUAUUUUACGUUGAUUAGACUUGAUAGGUUACUCAGAGUGGCGCACAAGUAUAUACACUAAUAAUUUUUCAAGAAUUUGGACCAUAAUAUAUACUCCUUCUAUUCUAUAUUAACUGAAUUUGUGAGACAAUGCACACAUAUUAAGAAAAACAUUUAAGAACAUAACUUAAACCAUAAUUUUUACUAUUGUCCUUUGCGAAAUCAUAAAUAUAGCUUUGUAAGUAGUGUAAUUUAUCUCAUAGAAAAUAUAAACUCCAAUAAUUGAAAGGGUAAAUAUGAAAAAAAUUUCAAACAUUCAUUUUGAACUUUGAACAAUUCAAUUAUUCUGAACAAUGAAAAAAAUCUAAAAAAUUUACUAAAUAUGAAAUGGAAGAAGGACUAAAAAGAUGAGAUCUAAAUUUAAACAAACCAUGAGUGCGUUUGGUAUGAACGAAAUUAUUUUCUGAAAAUAUUUUUUUAACUAAUAAGUGGGUUUGUUAUUUUUUUUUGUGUGUGUUUGAUAUGUUUUCUAAAUAAUAAGAGCAUGUUUGGUAUUGCUGUUAAAAAUUGCUUAUUUUUGAAAAGCACUUUUUUAAAAUGACUUUUUAAAAAAGUGCUUUUGAAAAAAAUAAUUUAUGUUUGGCUAAUUCAUUUGAAAAGUGAUUUUGAUAAACAAAUUGUAUUUUGCUAAUCUUUUUAAAAAAAUGCUUUUGAGAGUCAAAUUACGAAAAAGAGUAAGUAUUAAUGUGCUUUUAAUAUUAAUAUUAUUUUAAAGAGAGAAACUAUUUUAAUUAUCUAUUACAAAAAUUUUAGUUACAAUUUUAUUUUAAUGAUAUUAAAAUGUACAUAUUCAUAAAUUUAAAAAUCAUUCCACAAAUUAAACCACUAUAUACAAAAAUUCACCACAAAAAUAAAUAAAGUCUUUCAUAUGUUUAAUCCUACAAAAUAUUGUUGUUACCUUUAUUUCUAGUUCUGUAAAAUAAAACAUAUAAUAAUAUAUAAUAAUCUAUAAAAUAUAAAUAAUAAUAUAUAAACAUUAAAUAAAUAAUUUAUUAUAUAAAAAUAAAAAAUAAAAUACUUUAAUGAAUCUUAACCAAACUUAUAAGAUAUGCUAAUUAGUUAAUAAGGGAUAUAUUGAUAAAUAUGUAUAUAUGAAGGGGAUAUUUUAGUCUUUAAAAAAAUAUUUUUUUGAGAAGUUGAAAUUUUUAACUUCUUCCCAACGACAACAGAAAAUCUGCUUCUGCUUCCAUUUAAAAGCAGUUUUAAGGACUUGCCAAACACUUAAUUUUUCAAAAUAAUUGUUUUUUCCUAAAAAAAUAAUAAUAAUUUUAGCCUCCCAACAGCAAUGCCAAACAAGCUCUAAGUAAUCAAACGAAAACAUUGAAAAAUAUAUAUUUCCUCCGUACUGAACACACCCUAUAUUAAAAGUGUUUUCCGUAUCAAGAUAUAUUAAGAUCUUAAAUAUAGAGCCAACCAAGAUAUAUAUCUACAAAACUACGUUAAAAGGUCUUCUUCUAUAAAUCAUUUUUCUAGUUCUUAUUAUGUAUGUUUCUUUCAAAUCAAGUGAAUCACAGAAAUACAUGUAAAAAAUGAAAUAGAAAACUAGAAAAAUAUUAUAUUAUACCUUUUUGUUUACUUCCAAGCUAAUAAUUCCUCUCAAAUGGUAGUUUGCCUUGUUGCAGAUUUACAGGAAGCAAAUGUUGAAGAACCUAAUUCACUUAUUUAAAAAGCUUUAUUGUUAGAUAUCUGCACAUGUGAAAAUAGAUUAGUUUAAGUUUAGUAUUGUUUUGAAUUAUUAAAGCAAAGUCUUUCUAUAUAAUUUCCGACAGUCCAUAAAAAUAUUUGUUUGAAAAAAGUUAUUCAAUUAGUCCUAAUCAAGUAAGUUGACAAGAAAAAAAAAUGGCAUUUUAAUGUCACAUUAUUAUUAUAAAAUAAUAAUAAAAAAAGCUAUGAUGUUAAUGCACCAACAAUUGCAAUUAUGUAUUUUUUUGUUGUCUUGAUUUUUGGAAUCAAGUGAAGUGGUUGAUGUUUGAUUUUUGGAACCAAUUCUCAACCAGUAUUUGCUUGACUUUUCUUUUUGUUUAUAAAUUAUUUUUCUACAUAAAUAAAAUUUUAAAUUAUUUGUUUUAACUAAAUAUUGUGUAGUUUUGAUUUGAAAAUUUUGAUGUACCUAUUCAUUUACCACUUCUCCAAGUUUGAACACACUUUUUUUUCUUAACUAAUAUUGUCGUUACGCCGUUGUUUUUGCCCCUCACAAUAAAUGGUAUAUUUUUUUUAUUGUAGCUUAAGUUUAUAUUUUUAUAUCAUAAUAUUUUAUAUAAGUUAUGUUUUUAGUUUGUAAACAACUUGGCAUAAAUUUGUGAAGUUGGUCAAAGUGCAAAGUGGAAUUAUUAUUCUAUCUCUAUUCUAAAUAAAAUAUCUAAUUCAUUAAAUAUUAAAUAAUAUCAUAUAUAUUGUACAAAAUACUAAUACCGGAAAGGUGUUAAAUCAAAAAGUUGAAUAAACUUUUAAAUACAAUCAAAUGAGAAAGACAUUAAAAAUAUGAUAAUGAAACGAUCAUGGCUGAUUUUUGGAACCAAUUCUCAGCUAGUAUUUGCUUGACUUUUCUUUUUAUUUUUUAAAAUUAUUUUUCUACAUAAAUAAAUUUUAAUAUUAUUGUUUAACGAAAUAUUGUGUAGUUUGAUUUGAAAAUUUUGAUGCACCUAUUCAUUUUAAAGAAAAGGAAAAUGGUCUGAUAGACCCUGGUACUUGUAUGUGUUUGUAUUCUGAACCUUUCUACUUACCUCUUUGUCAACUGAACCCUUUAACUCAAUAAAAUUCAACAUCUUAAACCCUUUUGACCAUUGACCAAACUUAUGUGGCAACUUAAUUGUUGAGUUGGCAUAAGUACGUGAUUUUAUGUAAAAAAGGAGCGUGAAAAUAAAAAUUUAGACUAAAAAUAAUUAAAAGAAAAAGGAAAUUACAAUAAAAACAACAAAAUAAAAAUAAAAAUUAUAAACUUCACUCUUUCUUCUUUCCUCCACCCCGUUCCAUUUCUUUCACCUUUGUCACGACCUGAGCCUACACCCUGGACAUGGCUGGCACUCGAGAAUCAUUGCUAGUCCCCAAGCGAACCCUCAUCCUGGCUACCUAUAAGUGAAAGACUAACUCAAGCAUACAAAGCUUAAAACAUAAUGAAAUUCAUGAAAAACUUAAAUACAAGCUUUAACUCAAAAGAAAACUCUGAAUAAAAAUAGAAUAUUCAACUAGCCAACAAUAGGCAACUCAAAUCUUUAAUACAUUUAAUAAGAUAAAUGAAACAGACUUCUCAAACUCUACUAUCUAUCUAUGAAGCCUCUAACUGACAAAGAUGAAAGUUAAGACAAGACCCACGACAUCCUAAAAACUGAUAUAACUAAAAAGCAAAUGAAAUCCUCCGGAAUCAAGGAGACUCACCAUAGCUAACUCGAACUCCAUGUGGUAUCAAUAAAGCUCCUGUUGAUGAUCUUGAAUACCUGAAUCUGCAUCAUGAAAGGAUGCAGGCCAAAUGGCUCAGUACAUGGAAUGUACGAACAUGUAAGGGGAAUUCUAAAGCACAACAUAAGCUUGAACUUGAUAAAAAGGAAACAUACUUACCUCUUCUCAACUCACUCAACUAACUCAACUCAGGAAUAAGAUUCUCAACUGAAAGAUAAAAUAUUCAACUCGGUGAAAUAAGGCUCAACUCAAUAAUAAGAUAUUCAACUCAGUGAAAUAUGACUCAACUCAAUAAUAAGACACUCGACUCUUAGUACUCAAACUCUGGAUACUCAACUUUGGAUACUCAUCUCAAUAUAAAGCAACACUAAUAGAUGCAAUAUAUGGAAAGUUUUUAAAACAAUAGAAAGCAACUCAAUGUAUUUAAGAAUACAUUAUACUCAGUUUGUAUGCAAGGAUACAAUAUAAACUCUGUUUGUAUAUGAAAAUACAAGUAAACUUUGUGUAUAUAAAAAUACAAAUAUCUCUAUGGGAGUUUCUCUAACCGACAACCAUCACUUGAGAGCUAUUGUGAUAAUACAACGUUUUGCCUCACGCUGGAAGGGCCGUCCUAUACCUUGCCAAGGGUAUUGAACCUGACUACUAAGUGGAAAGCACUAAGGAAUCAUCUAAAAAGUAUGACCCUUUUCUACCCAUGGUGGCUACAUGGUUUAUGGGGGCUGUGAGUUAUCUGAACUCCCCCCUCCCAUAUCGGUGCUCAAUACUACUCCCAAAAUAUGAUACUAGCUCUUAUGUUUAAAAACAUACUUCUUUCUGUGAUUUGAGAUAAUUGCUCAAAACUUAGCUCAAAGGCUAUCUUGGAAAUCAAAGUUUUAUCUCUCGCUUAAUUGUGAAAGCAUUUACUCUUUUCUGAAAACUAGCUCAAAGGCUCUUUGGAAAUCAAGGUUUCCUUUUCUUGUUUAAAUGUGAAAACAUUUUCUCUUUGGGAAUACUUAGUUCCCAUAUAAUCUUUUGAAGAAACUGAACUUCAAUUUUACUCUUACUAAAACGUUUGUAAAAGACUUCCUAAAAUAUGGUUCAUGCCGAAUUAUGGACGUGAACGACUCAAUGCAAGGUUUUCAAUAACCAUAGAUAGAACUCAAUACUCAAGACUUAGAACUUGAAGAUACUACUCCUCUCAAUGAUGCUCAAUUUAUGGAGUUCAUGUGGAAUUAUAUGCAUGAACGACUCGACUCAAAGGUCUACAUAACUACAUGGAUCUCAUGUAUAUGACUCUUCUCAUUCUCUUACUUACUUCCUCAAAACUUAGUUCAAAGCAAUAGUUGAUCUCAAAGAAUUCACAAUCGAACUCAAAGACUUUCUUGAACUCUACUCUUAAUUCUCUCUUGAAUGUGAAUUAUGAAUUCAAGAGUUAUAGUUCAUGAUAUGAAGGAUCUCGGUGAUAGUGUAGACUCAUGAAAAGAUUCUCCUCACUCAUAUUCACUUACUUGAGUCUUGAAACAAGUUACUAGAAGUUGUAGAAGACUCCUCAAAAGGACUCAAAAGGGCUUUCUUAAAUGUUCAGAAGAACUCUCAAGACUCAACUCUUAACUUUACCUUGAAUUGGAAUUAUUAAUUCAAGGUUAUGAUUCAUGUUAAGAAUUAUUUCUAAGUGUUUAGAAGUAGUUUAGAGUGAUUAAAAUAAAAGGGAGUGAAGGUACACUUAAAUGGGACUCAAACGGGACAACCAACAGAAAAAGAGUGGGGGUAGGCGACCUUGGCGCGUUCCGGGCGUGGGGCGCCAGCCCCAAACUUAAGAGGCUGCAUAUGGGCGCACUGCAAGGGCGCCGCCCCAGCCUCUCCCCAGGCCGAGUUCGACGAAUUUUCCCUCUCGUUUUCUGAUCUUAAAUCGCUUUUAAUCGAUUUCUUUUCUCAAGUUUUCCUUAGAUUCAAUUACCCAACCUAAGUACACACUAACCCACUCAAAAAAACACUCAAAACAAUCACUUUCAUCUCAAGAAAUCAUCAAAACCCUAAUAAAAUAAGAUUUAGAAUGAACUUCAAGAACUUAAAUCAUUCUACUUUUGAGAAUGAAAUUAAGCUGAAAAUAACAUGUUUGGCGUACGGGUGACAAAUCCAACACUAUGGAAGCUUACAUACCUCUUAGGGAUCAAACCCAUGGCGAAAAUCCACGACAAAAAUCAAGAACCUCGACGAACGCCUUGAUCCUUUCUCUUUUCUCCUCUUCUUUUCUCUUCUUGAACUCUCAACUAAAACCCUAGGCGUAUAUUAGGAUUAUAAAACUGAACCUAAUCAGAUUAGACCUAUAAAACAUUACUAAAAAUGAAUUAAAUCUGAUUGGGUAAGGAAAAGACGAAAAUACCUCUCUAAAAUCCGGUUAUGAUUGUCCUUAUCUAGACAACCCAACUUCUAAUGAACAUAUCUCCCUCAUAUGAACUCGAAACUGAGCAAACUCGGUGGCGUUGGAAAUAAUUCAAAUAUUUUUCCUACGGUAUAUGAUAGAACACCUAACUCAUCCUUAGCUACGAGUUAUGGUCGGUUGAAGUCGACCCUAAACUCAUACUUAGCUUAACCAGCAAAAUUUCAGAUUUUGCUAUUUCUAAUUUAGUUCUUUUUGGAACUCAAGGUGCUACAUCUAGUGACCUGACCUUAAUACUUAAGAAAUUUGAAAUUCCUUAGUGAAAUCCUACUCACAACGAAGGAUGAUUAGAGUCUCAGUUCGUAAAAAAUUUCUGGGGUGUUACAACCUUUCUUGAUCUUCCCCCACCCAAUUCCCCAUUACUUUCGUUCUCCCUUCCUGUACUCCUUUCCAUUUCCUUUUCUCUUUUUCCUUUUUCAUUUUAUCUUUCCCAAAUUAGAAAUGAUAUCGUGCAAAAAAUGAGAACAAAAUGAGCAAAGGAAAAUCAAGAAAAUUGAUGCAAUACCCAAAUCCACGGAAGAAAUAUGUCUAAUGAGUAUCAUGAACUCUUUUUGUUGUUAAAAUUGUUAGCAAUUUUAGUGCUCCAUCUUUAAAUUUGUUAUUGUUCUUGAUUUGUCUUUCUUUUCCAUCUUCUAGGGUUAACUGACAAAGAUCCGGUAGUUUUGAAGGAUAAAAGUAAUUGUUGAAUGUAAAUUAGAUGAAGUAUGUUGGAUAAAUAUAAAUAUUAUAAUCUAUUGAAAUACUUCAAUGGUGAUUCAUUGGCAUCCAUGGAGAAAAGGAUUUUACAUGUGUUGGUCAAGUGAUAUGAAGAUGAAGAUGGAGUAAAAAAAGAAGAAAAAAAAUAAUUUAUUUUAAAAAAUUAAAUAAUAAGUGACGUGUCAUAUAAAAUCUGAUGUGGGUGAUGACAUGUCAUUUUUAUUGUGCGUUUGAAGUUCACACAAGGCCAAAGAGAUUUAAAAUGCUGAGUUUUAUUGAGUUUAAGGGUUCAGUUGGUAAAUGGUUAAGUAAAAGGGUUCAAAAUACAAACACAUACAAGUACAAGGGUCCAUCAGACCAUUUCGCCCAAAGAAAAUACCACUUCUCCAUGUUUGAACACUUCUAACUAAUUUUGUGGUCGCGUCAUUGUUUUUGCCCUCACAAUAAAUGAUAAUUGUUUAUUGUGGCUUAAGUUUAUAUUUUUAUAUCAUAAUAUUUCAUUUAAGUUAUGUUUUUAGUUUGUAAACAACUAGGUAUAAAUUUGUUAAGUUGGUCAAAGCGCAAAGUUGGAUUAUCAUAUUAUCUCUAUUCUAAAUAAAAUAUCUAAUUCAUUAAAUGUUAAAUAUAUAUUAUAUUAAAUACUAAUAGAGAGAAGGUGUUAAAUCAAAAAGUUGAAUAAACUUUUAAAUACAAUUAACUGAGAAAGAUAUAUUUAAAUAAAAAGGUUUAAUAAACUUUUAAAUAUAAUUAAAUGAGAAAGACAUUAUGUAACACCCCGGACUUCAAAAGAGCUAAAUAGAGGUUCGUACAAGUUACCCAUCGGUUUUUAGUUUUGGGUCAACUUUAAAUGACCAUAUCUUUAAGCACAUAAAGAAUUAGGUGGACCAUGAGCUAUCAAAUCGAAGGUGUUUGAGUCCUCUUUCCAACGCCACCAAGUUUGCUUAAUUUCGAGCUUGGUGUAAAAAAUUAUGCUCAUUUGAGUGAAGUCUCUGUUUAAGUCUUUUUAUUCUAUUAUAGAAGGGUAUUUUUGUCUUUUCCUUUUCCCACUAGGCCUAGCAUGUUUUUUCUCUCCCAAUUAAGGGUCUAAUGAUAUGCUAAACCACUCUUGAUCGUUUCUAAACACUUAGAAAAAUAAGAGAAGAGUUCAAGAGGAGAAAGAGCUAGGUUUUGAGCGUUCGUCAAGAUCCCGUCGAUUUUCGCCAAGAACAUUGUUGUUUCCAGGUAUGUAAGACUUCUCACAGUGUUGGAAUUGUUCUUCUUCAUCCCAUACAUCUAGUUAUCCACGAAAUCGUUGUAUCUAAAGGCUUCUUGAGUAGUUCUUGAUAUUUGUUCAAUUCCUUAACAAUGGAGGUUGCAAAUUCUUAUGCUUUGUGAAUCUUUAGUAAAAGUUGUGCUUCCCAAAGGGAUUGUGUUGAAUUCCUCAUGUAUUCGUAUUGGGCUUGAGAAUCAAGAAGAGUUAUAGGAGAAUUUUCCCCCAUUCUAACUGAGUUAGGACCCUAAAUUGAGUACAAAAAUUCUUCGACUUUUUGGGUAUCCGGGUGGGGCGGCACGCCACGCCACCAAGGUGCCAGGAAUUUUGGUAUGUAGUUUGGGGCCUGGAGCCCCACGCCAGCAGUGUGCCCCAAACUUUGGUUAGUAGUUUGGGGACUGACUCCCCAUUCCAGCAGUGAGCUAGGGUCGCCUAAACCUUUUUCUUUUCGUGCUUCAUUCCGAACGUGUUCCUUUGAAUCAUGACUACGUUCUCUUCUUUGUAUUAGCUCCUAAAGGCUCCAUUCAUCCUUGAGAGAUCAUAUGUGUCCUAAUCACAUGUCUUAAUUUACAUUCCAAACUAAGUGAGUUUAAGAGGAAAGCUCAAGAGGUGUUUUUGAGUCAUUUUGAGGAUUCUUUAAUCAACAAUGGUUUUGAACUAAGUCUUGAGAAAGUAAAUAUGAGAAAAAAGAAGAGUUGUAUUCAUGAUUGAAAAAGAGUAUAAGGGAAGUAAAUAUUCCCAAAUGUAACACUUUUACGAUUUAAAGAGAGAAACAUUGAUUUCUAAAUGAGUUUAUGAGUUCAGAGAUAUUUUAGAGUAUUGUUUUAUACAUUUGAGCAUGAGUUUAUAUAUUAUAGGGAAUAAUAUUGAGCAUCAAUAUGGGGAUGAGUUCAGACAACUCACAUUCCUCAUAAACCAUGUAGCCAACACGGUUUAUGAGCAUUUUUUGAGUAAUUACUUUAAAUUGAGAAAUAGUUAUGUUUUAUACAUUUGAGCAUGAGUUUAUAUAUUAUAGGGAAUAAUAUUGAGCACGGAUAUGGGGAUAAGUUCAGACAACUCACAAUCCUCAUAAAUCAUAUAGCCAACAGGGGUAAAUGGUUGUACGUACUUUUUAGAUGAUUCCUUAUUGAUUUUAAGCAUAGCUUAGUAGAUCCACUUAGUUGAGGUGUCCUAUACCUCAACAAGGUUUAUGACAGUGUGGGCGAGACACUGUAUAUCACAUAGCUCAUAGUGAUGGUUGCCGGUUAGAGAAUCUCCCAAAUAAGAGUAAAGGAUAACUUAUUGUAUUUUUAUACAUCAUUGAGUUUAUAUUUUCUGUUUUAUAAUGCUUUAAACAUUGCAUCUCUUGUUAUUGCUUUUAUAUUGGAGUUGAGUUGAGGUGAGUGUCUUCCAGUCUUAUUGGUUUAGUUAUCUAUGUUUUCAGUUUCCCCUUACAUGCUCGUACAUUCAAUGUACUGAUGUCAUUCGACCUGCAUCUUAUUAAUGAUGCAGAUACAGGUGUCCAGGGUCAUCAACAAGCGAUUCGUUGAUACCAUUUGCACUCCAACUAGCUUUGGUUAACCUUCUUGUUUUCUAGAGGGCUUCACACUUAUUUCCUUCUUUUGAUUAAGUUGUCGAGGGUUCUGUCCCGACAUCUAUCUUAGUAUUUAGAGGCUUCAUAGAUAGUUAGAGUUGAGGAGUCUCUCAUUAUUUUCCUUAUUGAUGUUUUGAGAUCUUGAGACAGUUACUUAUAUAUUAUUAAGUAUAUCCAGAUGUUCAUUUGAGUUAAGUUCUAUUUGAUACUUUUAAGUUUAAUUAUGCACUUGGAGUUCCCAUUUUGUGUGACAUCUUGGAAUUUGAAAUAACUAUGAAGAAGCUUAUAAUUGGAAAUAGUCAUUUUUGGAAAGAAUGCAAAUCUGGAAAUUUAGUCAAGUAUGGAAAAAAUUGAUUUUUUGGUCAACUUCAAAUGGUCAUAACUCCUAGAUCAGGAUUAUUUAGGUGUAUUUCCAGUUAUGUUUGGAAAGCUCUUGGAAUGAUCUUUCCAACGCCGCUGAGUUUGCACGAUUUCGUGUUCGUAUGAGUGAGUUAUGCCCUUUGGAAGUUGGGCUGUUGGGAUAAGGGAAGUUCAAUCCGAAUUUUUAAGGGGUAGUUUUGGUCUUUUCCCUACCCAUUUCUUUGGUUAUAUUAAGGGUCUAAGCUGAUUUUAUAUCAGUUUUCCCUUUAAAAAGUGAGAGUUAGGGUUGUGAGAGAAGAGAGAAAGAGAGGAGAAAAGAGAAGAAGAAGCAAGGUUCGUCAAGACUCGUCGUGGAUUUCAUCGGGGGUGAUCCCUACUAAGUUAUGUGAGAUCACAUAGUGUGGGGUUGGUUCAGUCCCCCACACGCCAAACUUGUUUCAAUUCCGAGAAAAAGAUUGGUUGUGUUUUGUUGAAUUCUUGUGGUUGUAUUGAAGUUUCUUGUUGAUUUGGUACAUGUUUCCGGGUGUAAUUUUGAGUUGAAUCUAUUGUAUGUUAAGGGUUUUAAUGAUUCUAAGUGUUUGGGGAAAGAACCUUUGAAGUUAACAGGGUUUAGAAUUGGAGAAAUGAAGAAGAAAAGUCGGGUUUUUUUUUUGAAAAAAAGGUGGGGUGUCGCGCCAGCCAGCAAGCCCCAAAAGGGACUCUAAAGUUCCCCCCUUGGGACGACGCGCCAGCCAGUGCGCCCCAACAUGCCCUCUGAAGUUUGAGGGCUGGCGCCCCAAGCCUCUCAGAGCGCCAGGGACACCAAUUCUCCCCAUUCGUUCCCCACUUUUUUUGUACGUGUUCCUUAGUAAUGUACCUAUGUUUUCUAGUUGAUUUCAACACUCUAAGGUACAUCUAAACAUCACAAACUCAUCCAUAAACAUGAGAUCAUGAACCUUGAAUCCAUAAUCCAAAUUCCAAGGAAAGUUAGGAUCAAAGUCAAGUGAAGUUAGAGUCAAGUCUAGAAGUUAAGAAGUAAGUCAAAGCAAGUUUUUAAAGUUUUCAAGAGUCUUUACUGAACGUUUAAACUUCGUUUUAAGGCUCAAGUUUCAAGCAAAGUAUAGAGUUGAGUUCAUUUCUCAAAAGUUAUUAGGGAACUAAGUAUUCCCAAAGAAGUUUAUAAAUGUUUUCUCAUUUGAGUAAGAAAGGAACUAUGUUUUCCAAGAGAGCCGGUGGGCUAGACUUUGAGUAAUUAUCUCAACUAAAGAAAGAGGUGUUUAAAAACACAUAUGAGCUAAAGUAUAUUUUGGGAGUAGUAUUGAGCACCGAAUUGGGGACGCGAGUUCAUCUUAAACUCAACUCUCCAUAAGAACCAUGUAGCCAACAUGGGAUUUAACGGGUCAUACUUUUAAGAUGAUCACGUAAGUUAAGCUAGUGGAUCCACUAAGUUCAGUAAGGUCUUAUAUGUAACACCCUAGAGAAUUUUUCGAACUAAGACUCGAGUCGUCCUUCAUGUGGAGUGAGAUUUUACCGAGGAAUAAAAUUUCUUGAGUGUUAAGUUAAGAUUCCUAGAUGUAGCACAUUGAGUUCCAAGAAGAGUUGAAUUGGAAAUAGUAAUUUUUGGAAAGAAUCUGGAAAAUUUGGCUAUGGAAAAAAAGUGAGUUUUUGGUCAACUUUGAGCAGUCNNNNNNNNNNNNNNNNNNNNNNNNNNNNNNNNNNNNNNNNNNNNNNNNNNNNNNNNNNNGUGUGGGUUGAUCCUUUCCCCCACUCACCAAGCUCAUGUUUAUAGUUUGAGAAAAGGUUGGAUUUGUUGUUGAAGUUGUUAGUUGUUGUUGAUGUUGUUAGUUGUUGUUGAUGUUGUUAGUUGUUGUUGAUGUUGUUAGUUGUUGUUGAUGUUGUUAGUUGUUGUUGAUGUUGUUAGUUGUUGUUGAUGUUGUUAGUUGUUGUUGAUGUUGUUAGUUGUUGUUGAUGUUGUUAGUUGUUGUUGAUGUUGUUAGUUGUUGUUGAUGUUGUUAGUUGUUGUUGAUGUUGUUAGUUGUUGUUGAUGUUGUUAGUUGUGUUGUUGAAGUUAUUGUUGGUUGUGGGACAGGAUUGGGCUGUGUAUUUGAGUUGUGAUCUAUUGUAUGUUGAGAGAUUGAUGAUCCUUAGUGUUGGUUGGUUCAUACCCCCACACACCAACUCGUUUUUAAUUCCAAGAGAAGAUUUAUUGGUUGUUGAAGUUGUAGUGGUGUUGUGUUGAAGUUCUUGCUGGUUUAGUACAGAUUUCUGGCUGUGAUUUUUGAGUUGAAUCUAUUGUAUAUUAAUGGUCUUUAUGAUUCUAUGUGUUGCUGCUGAAACCUUGAGGUUGAGAGAGUUUAGAAUUGGAAAGAAACAAGGGGAAAAAGUCAGAUUUUUGGGGGAAAAGGGCUGGGCUGUUGCGCCAGCCAGCGCACCCAAAAAAAAUGGGAUGCUGAACUUCCCCUUUGGGGCAGAACACCUGGCAGAACGUCCAGCAGUCCCUCUGAAGUUUGAGGGCUGGCGCCCCGCGCCUCUUAGAGCGCCAAGGACGCCAAUCCUUCCCGUUACCUUCAUUCCCCACUUUUUCAUACAUGUUCCUAGGUAUUAUACCUAUGUUUCCUAGUUGUUUCCAACACUCCAAGGUACUUCUAAAAGUCAAGAACUCAUCCGUAACAUGUGAUCAAACACCUUGAAUCCAAAAUUCCAAUUCAAGGAGAGUUAGAUAGAAAUCAAGUGAAGUUAGAUUCCAAGUCAAGUGAAGUUAGAUUUCAAGUUGAGUCAAGAGUUUCAAGUCAAGUCAAAAGUUAAGAGUUUCAAGUUGAGUCAAGAGUUUAAAGUUGAGUUCUUUUCUCAAAGUUAUUAGGGAACUAUGUAUUCCCAAAGAAGUUUUAAAGAAAUGUUUUACAUUUAAACAAGGUUGGAAACUAAGAUUUCCAAAGAGCCUUCGGGAUAGUUUUUUUUGAGUAAUUAUCUCAAUCAGCAGGAAGACAUAUGUUUUAAAAACAUANNNNNNNNNNNNNNNNNNNNNNNNNNNNNNNNNNNNNNNNNNNNNNNNNNNNNNNNNNNNNNNNNNNNNNNNNNNNNNNNNNNNNNNNNNNNNNNNNNNNNNNNNNNNNNNNNNNNNNNNNNNNNNNNNNNNNNNNNNNNNNNNNNNNNNNNNNNNNNNNNNNNNNNNNNNNNNNNNNNNNNNNNNNNNNNNNNNNNNNNNNNNNNNNNNNNNNNNNNNNNNNNNNNNNNNNNNNNNNNNNNNNNNNNNNNNNNNNNNNNNNNNNNNNNNNNNNNNNNNNNNNNNNNNNNNNNNNNNNNNNNNNNNNNNNNNNNNNNNNNNNNNNNNNNNNNNNNNNNNNNNNNNNNNNNNNNNNNNNNNNNNNNNNNNNNNNNNNNNNNNNNNNNNNNNNNNNNNNNNNNNNNNNNNNNNNNNNNNNNNNNNNNNNNNNNNNNNNNNNNNNNNNNNNNNNNNNNNNNNNNNNNNNNNNNNNNNNNNNNNNNNNNNNNNNNNNNNNNNNNNNNNNNNNNNNNNNNNNNNNNNNNNNNNNNNNNNNNNNNNNNNNNNNNNNNNNNNNNNNNNNNNNNNNNNNNNNNNNNNNNNNNNNNNNNNNNNNNNNNNNNNNNNNNNNNNNNNNNNNNNNNNNNNNNNNNNNNNNNNNNNNNNNNNNNNNNNNNNNNNNNNNNNNNNNNNNNNNNNNNNNNNNNNNNNNNNNNNNNNNNNNNNNNNNNNNNNNNNNNNNNNNNNNNNNNNNNNNNNNNNNNNNNNNNNNNNNNNNNNNNNNNNNNNNNNNNNNNNNNNNNNNNNNNNNNNNNNNNNNNNNNNNNNNNNNNNNNNNNNNNNNNNNNNNNNNNNNNNNNNNNNNNNNNNNNNNNNNNNNNNNNNNNNNNNNNNNNNNNNNNNNNNNNNNNNNNNNNNNNNNNNNNNNNNNNNNNNNNNNNNNNNNNNNNNNNNNNNNNNNNNNNNNNNNNNNNNNNNNNNNNNNNNNNNNNNNNNNNNNNNNNNNNNNNNNNNNNNNNNNNNNNNNNNNNNNNNNNNNNNNNNNNNNNNNNNNNNNNNNNNNNNNNNNNNNNNNNNNNNNNNNNNNNNNNNNNNNNNNNNNNNNNNNNNNNNNNNNNNNNNNNNNNNNNNNNNNNNNNNNNNNNNNNNNNNNNNNNNNNNNNNNNNNNNNNNNNNNNNNNNNNNNNNNNNNNNNNNNNNNNNNNNNNNNNNNNNNNNNNNNNNNNNNNNNNNNNNNNNNNNNNNNNNNNNNNNNNNNNNNNNNNNNNNNNNNNNNNNNNNNNNNNNNNNNNNNNNNNNNNNNNNNNNNNNNNNNNNNNNNNNNNNNNNNNNNNNNNNNNNNNNNNNNNNNNNNNNNNNNNNNNNNNNNGUUUUACAAGCUUUAUAUAUUGCAUGUGUCUUAUUGCUUUAUAUUGAGUUCAGCUAUUCAUGAGUUGAACAGAGCCAAGGUAAAUUCUCUUUUAUAUCCCUUUCAAGCUUAAGUUGUUGUUAAGUUGUCCUGCUCGCAUACUCGUACAUUCCAUGUACUGAUGCCAGUUAGCCUGCAUCUUAUUAUGAUGCAGACGCAGGUACCCAGGAUCAUCAUUCAGCACGCCGUUGAUCCAAUUGAGCAUUCCAGAGUCAGUGGUGAGCCUCCUUGCACUCCGGAGGACUCUGUUAUUUCGUUUUCCUAGUUUUGCUUUAUUAGGAUGUUGUGGGGUCUGUCCCAACAUCCAUCUCAGUGUUAUAGAGGUUUCAUAGACAGUCAGACAGUUAGUAUUGAGUCUCUCAUCUAUGUAUUUACAUAUUUUCUAUUUUUGAGACACGAGUUGCCUUUUUGGCCAGAUUUUAUCAUUUAAGUUGCUUUAUGAUCUUUUAUUGUAUUGAGUUGUUCCACUGAGUUUAGUAGCCAGGCCAAUGGUUCGCUUGGGGCCAGCGAUGGUCUUCGAGUGCCAGUCCCGCCCAGGAUGUAGGCUCGGGGCGUGACAUUUUGCAUGAUUAAGUCUUUCGUUAAGUAGUCAGUCAGGCCAAGGGUUCGCUUGAGGUCCAACGAUGGUUCUCAAGUGCCGACCACGUCUAGGGUGUAGGCUCGGAGCAUGACAAACUUGGUGUCAAAGCACAAAGUUGAAGAGUCCAAGGGUGUCUAUCAAGUCGUGUCUAUAGAGUCAUUUUUAUCUAUGUGAAGCGCGUCACAUCUAUGAUUAAGAGGCUACAACAUUUAGAAAACAUUUCACUUUCUUCUUACUCUUGUUCGUGCGAUAGAGUUCAACUUUAUAAAAGUUUCCUCUAACUCGUGCUUAUGCGUGUCUUUUCAGAUCAUGCCUCCAUGAAGAGUUGUUCGAGGAUGUCCUGCUAAAAAGAAGGUGAAUCCUCAAGGUCAAGAAAUUCCCAAUGCACCAGAAGUGCAACCACCUCAAGAGGAUGUCACCAAUACUGGAUUCAGGAAUGCUAUCCAGAUGUUGACUCAAGUGGUGGCAAAUCAGGCUAGUCAACAAAGAGCAGGUCAUUAGGAUGUGACUGGUACAUUCAUAAUCUGUGAGUUCUUGAGAAUGAAUCCCCAGAGUUCAUAGGGUCGAAUAUCACUAAGCAUAAAAAGAACUUUGUGGAAGAAUGUCACGCCCCGAGCUUACACCCUGGACGUGGCUGACACUCGAAGACCAUUGCUGGCCCCAAGCGAAUCCUUGGCCUAGCUUCUUAACUCAGUGAAAACCAAACUCAACAGAAAACUCCAUGCAACGAAAAGUCAUAAAACAACCCAACUGAUAAAAUCUGGCCAAAAAGGCAACUAGAGUCUCAAAAUAGAAUAUUUACAUAUAAACAUAGAUGAGAGACUCAACACUAACUGACUGACUGUCUAUGAAGCCUCUAUAAUACUGAGAUGGAUGUUAGGACAGACCCCACAACAUCCUAAUAAAACAAAACUAGGAAAAACGAAAUAACAGAGUCCUCCGGAAUGCAAGGAGGCUCACCACUGACUCUGGAAUGCUCAAUUGGAUCAACGGCGUGCUGAAUGAUGAUCCUGGGUACCUGCGUCUGCAUCAUAAUAAGAUGCAGGCUAACUGGCAUCAGUACAUGGAAUGUACGAGUAUGCGAGCAGGACAACUUAACAACAACUUAAGCUUGAAAGGGAUAUAAAAGAGAAUUUACCUUGGCUCUGUUCAACUCAUGAAUAGCUGAACUCAAUAUAAAGCAAUAAGACACAUGCAAUAUAUAAAGCUUGUAAAACUAUUUAAAACAUGACGUAAAAAUCAUAUUUAUAAUAUCAUGAAAAUACCAUUCUUCCUCUCAAAGUCUACUUGUGCAAUGCAUGAAUGAAGUCUCAUACCCCCAUCCAUACUAAGCAGAACCCCUCGAGGAAUCAUGCAAUUUCUAUUGUGGAGUUUCUCUAACCGACAACCACCACUACAUGCCUAAGUGGUGAUACAACAUUUACCUCACGUUGCCUAAGGACCAUCCUAUACCUUGCCGUGAUAUAUGACCUUACUUUAACUUUAACUUAGUGGAUCCACUAGCUUAACUUUACGUGAUCAUCUAAAAAGUAUGACCCAUCAAAUCCCAUGUUUGGCUACAUGGUUCUUAUGGAGAGUUGGUUAAUAUGAACUCGUGUCCCCAAUUCGGUGCUCAAGACUACUCCCAAAAAUACUUUAGCUCAUUAGUGUUUUAAACACAUCUUUCUUUAGUUGAGAUAAUUACUCAAAACUUAGCCCAAAGGCUCUUGAAAAACUACUUCUAAAAAGAACAUAUCAAAAACCAUAUUUUAAUAUGAUCAUUGAUGACUCGGGAAAGUCAUACUGCAUAAACAUUGAUGGUAUAUCUAGAGACCAUACUGUUUAACAUUGAUGACAUACUUGAUUUGUCAUACUAAUCAUGUUUUAGAAACUCUUUCGCAAAAACUCAUCUUUUCUCAAAAAGAGAUAGUACUCAAACUUCUCAAAACUCUUUUGGAAAUCUCAGUUUCCUCUCAACUUAAAUGUGAAAACACUUAUAAACUUCCUUGGGAAAUACUUAGUUCCCUAAUUACUUUUGAGAAAUGAACUCAACUCUUGACUCUUGACUUAACUCGAAACUCGAUACUCUUUACUCGACUUGAAACUAUAUGCUCUUUACUCUUUGCUAAACUUGAAACUAUAUCAACUUUAUACUCUUGGCUUAACUUGAAACUCUAUGCUCUUUACUCAACUUGAAACUUUAUGCUCUUUACUCACUUUAUACUCUUGGCUUAACUUGAAACUCUUUACUUAACUUGAAACUCGAGCCUUUAAAUGAAGUUAAAACGUUCAAUAAAGACUCUUGAAAAACUUAAAAGACUUGCUUUGACUUACCUCUUAACUUCUAAGCUUGGCUCUAACUUCACUUGACUUUGAUCCUAACUCGCCUUGAAUUGGAUUAUGGAUUCAAGGUAUAUGAUCACAUGUUUAUGGAUGAGUUCUUGACGUUUAGACGUACCUUGGAGUGUUGAAAACAACUAUAAAACAUAGGUACAUUACCAAGGAACAUGUAUGAAAAAGUGGGGAAUGAAUGGGAAGACUUGGUGUCCUUGGCGCUCUGAGAGGCGCGGGGCGCCAGCCUUCAGAGGGGCCUGCUGGGCGCUCUUCAAGGCGUGCCACCCCAAGAGGGAAACUUCAGAACCCCUGUUGGGGCGCGCUGGCUUGCGCGACGCCCCAACCCUUUCCCCCAAAAAUUCGACUCCUCUCCUUCAUUUUUCCAACUCUAAACCACCUUAACUUCAAAGUUUCCAGCCCCAAACACUUAGAAUCAUAAAACCCCUCAACAUACACUAGAUUCAACUCGAAAUCACAACCGGAAACAUACACCAAGGAACUUCAACAACACCACCAACAACUUCAACAAACACAACCAAUCUUUUUCUCGAAAUUAAAACGAGUUUGGCGUGUGGGGGAAAGAACCAACCCAACACUAUGAUAUCACAUACCUUAAUAGGGAUCACCCCCGACGAAAUCCACGAUGAUCUUGACGAAUCCUUGCUUCUUCUUCUCUUUCUCCUCUUCUUUCCUUUUUUCUCAAGAACCCUAACUCUCACUCUUUUAAAAAGGGAAAUCUGAUUUAAAAUCAGCCUAAACCCUUAAUAUAACCAAAAGAAAUGGCUAGGGAAAAGACCAAAAUACCCUUACAAAUUCGGACUAAACUGCCCUGCCAACACCCAACUUCCAAAGGGAAUAACUCACUCAUACGAACUCGGAAUCGCGCAAACUCGGCGGCGUUGGAAAGAUCACUCCAUGAACUUUCCAAAAAUAACUGGAAAUACACCUAACUCAUCCUUAGCUAGGAGUUAUGACUGCUCAAAGUUGACCAAAAACUCACUUUUUUUCCAUACUUAGCUAAAUUUUCCAGAUUUUUAAUUCUUUCCAAAAAUGACUAUUUCCAAUUCUAAGCUUUUUCAUAGCUAUUUCAAAUUGCUGGAUGUUUACAAAGAACUUCAGAAAGUGUUUGAGGUUAUGCGUGUUGCCGAUGCAGAGAGUGUGGAGUUAGCUUCAUACUAGCUCAAAGGUGUUGGUUAAAUAUUGUUUAAUCAAUUGAGAAGAGCAGGGCAGAGGGGGCACCACUUUUGAGUUGGGCGGUGUUCGAAGGUGCUUUUGUGGGGUGCGUCUUUCCCCUCGAUCUAAGGGAAGCAAAGGUAAGAGAAUUUCUAAAUCUGAAACAGGAGUCCAUGAGUGUCCAAGAGUACAACCUCAAGUUCACUCAGUUAUCCCCUAUGUUCCGGAGAAGACGAUUGAUAUGAGGAGCAGGAUGAGUUUAUUUGUGUCUGGGUUAUCCCGAUUGUCAAGUAAGGAAGGUAAGGCAAACAUAUGUUUUUUCCAUUUCAAAUAAGUCCCGAAACAUGAAAUAGAGAUUUUUCCUUUUGUUCUUGUGUUAUAGUCCAUGGAUAAAAACUGUUUUUCAUAAAUUGAUUUUAUUAUAUUAAAAUUGACAUUUAUAUUUGAAUUACAAAGAUAUUUCCAACUAAAUAUUCAUUUCUUUCAUUUGAUUUAUACCAAAAAAGAAAAACAAUUUUCUAUCAAGUUGGGGAAAAUUCAAAUUUGAAUGGGAUAAAAGUUGUUUUUUAGAAAACAAGAUUGACCAAACCGCCUUAUGGCAGUUUGAAUGCUUAGAUCUCAAAAAAAUACCCGACCUUUAAAAGAAUCGCUUGAAACGGACAUCCGAGGCAAACAUUAUGAAUAUUUGAAGUUUCACCAAUUUACAACUACUUAUUCUAGUUCCACUCCUUAACUUUGAAGACAUGUAAUUGGAUCCCUAAAAAUCAGACCAAAAAAUUAUAUUUCGAAAGAUGGUUUUACGAGUCAAGUCCACUGGUUGUAAAUAGUGUUCGUAGUUGUUAGACAAAAAUAACUGGACUAGGCUAGUCUUUUGGUAAAAUAGUUAUAAUGCUAACUUUAAAUGAUACAAACUUAGUGGUGUUAGAAAGAAAACUCAUAGACCUAUAGUAUGAUAUGUCAUGGGCCACCUAAUUCAUUACGUACUAAAAGAUAUGGUAGUAUAUAUUGUUUGCCUUCAGGAGAGACACUUAUUGAUUACGGGCAGUUUUUUGACCAACUAUUUACUUGGGCAUUCGCGAGGACCUAAAAAAUUGUGUGUGUUAGUUCAGAGGGGUAAAAGUAGGUAUUUUCAAGUUCAAACGAGGCACAAACCAUGAAAUAAGGAUUUUUCUAUUUUUCGUGUGUUAUAAUCCAUGAAUUUUUGUAGGUGUCCGUGAUGAUCUAUUAAAUGGUGUGCGUUGGUUCAGAGGGACAAACAUAGAUUUUUUCAAGUUCAAAUGAGGCCCGAACUUGAAAAUAGAGAUUUUUCCAUUUUUCAUGUAUUGUAGUCCAUGAAUUUUUUGUGGUAUGUGCACUCGAUGAUUUUUUGGCUGAUAUUUUCCAUGGGCGUCUGUAACGACCUAUUAAAUAGCGCGCGUUGGUUUUGAGGGGCAAACAUAAGUUUUUCUUUAAGUUCAAAUGAGACCCGAACUAGGUAAUAGGGAUUUCUUUUUCAUUUUUCAUGUGUUAUAGUCCAUAGAUUUUAUGUUAUAUGUGCGCCCGACAUUUUUUUGGCCAAAUUUUUUCGUGGACAUCCCUGACAACCUAUUAAAUGGCGUGUGUUAGUUCGAAAGGGAAAACAUUGAGUCUUUCCAUUUCAAAUGAGUCCCGAAACAAGAAAUAAGGAUUAUUUAGUUUUUCGUGUGUUAUAGUCCAUGGAUUUUAUUUGAUAUGUCGCAUAGUGGUUUUCUGGGCGAAAUUUCUGUGCGGGUCCGUGACGACCUAUUUAAUCUCUUUUUUUUUUUUUUUGUAAAAAGUGUUGCAUAACAAGGUGGUUGUGGAUCUAAAUCUCACAUUUUACGAGUCCAGUCUACUUGUUGUAACUAGUGUUCAUAGUUGUGAGACACAAUAAACCCGACUAGUCUAGUCUUUGUAAAACGGUCAUAACACUUUACUAUAAAUUUUAAAUUAUACAUUUGGUGGAGUUAGAAAGAAAACUCACAGACCUACAAUUCAGUAUGUCAUGGACCACCUUAUACAUUACGUAUUAAAAUAUAUGGUGGUAUAUAUUGUUUGCCUUCGGUGAGACAUUCAUUGAUUAUGGGCAGAUUUUUGGCCAAGAUUUUUCGUGGGCAUUCGUGACGACCUAAUAAAUUGAGCGUUAGUUUGAAGGGGUAAAUGUAGGUAUUUUCAAGUUCAAACGAGGCACAGAUCAUGAUAUAUGGAUUUUUGCAUUUUUCGUGUGUUAUAAUUCAUGGAUUUUAAGUAAUAUGUGCGCCUGGCGAUAUUUUGUUUGAAAUUUUCCAUGAGCAUCCGUUAUGACCUAUUAAUGGCACGCUUUAGUUCUGAUGGGCAAAUGUAGGGUUUUUUCAAGUUUAAACUUGGCCUGGAAUGGGAAAUUAUGAUUUUUUUUCAUUUUUCUUGUGUUAUAAUCCAUGGAUUUUGUGUGAUAUGUGUGCCAAAUGGUUCUUUGGCCAAAAUUUUCAUGGGCAUCCAUGAAAACCUAUUAAAUGGUGUGCGUUGGUUCAGAGGGUCAAACAUAGGUAUUUCCGAGUUCAAAUGAGGCCUGCACAGGGGAAUAGAGUGUUUUCUAUUUUUCAUGUAUUAUAGUCCAUGGAUUUUGAAUGAUAUGUGCGCCCAAUGGUCUUUUGGCCAAAAAUUUUCAUAGGUGUCCAUGAUGACCUACUAAAUGGUGCGUGUUUGUUCGGAGGGGCAAAAUUAGGUUUUUCAAGUUCAAACAAGGCUCGAACUGGGAAAUAAGGAUUUGUCCAUUUUUCUUGUUUUAUAGUCCAUGUAUUUUGUGUGAUAUGUGCGCCCGACGGUUUUUUGGCAUAAAUUUUUCGUGGACAUUCAUGACAACCUAUUAAAUGGCACGCGUUGGUUCGAUGGGGGGCAAAUUUAGGUUUAUUUAAGUUCAAACGAGGUCCAAAAUGGGAAAUAGUGAUUUUUAAAAAUUUUCGUGUGUUAUAGUCCAUGAAUUUUAAGAGAUAUGUGCUCCUGGUGAUUUUUGGCUGAAAUUUUCCAUGAGCAUUUGUGACGACCUACUUAAUGGCGUGCGUUGGUUUGAGGGGCAAACACUUGUUUUUUUCCAUUUCAAAUAAGUCCCGAAACAAGAAAUAGAGAUUUUUCCAUUUUGCUUGUGUUAUAGUCCAUGGAUAAAAAACUGUUUUUUUUUCAUAAAAAUUGAUUUUAUUAUAUGAAAAUUGACAUUUAUAUUUGAAUUACAAAAAUAUUUCCAACUAAAAAUCCAUUUCUUUCAUUUGAUUUAUACCAAAAAAGAAAAAAACAAUUUUCUAUCAAAUUGGAGAAAAUUCAAAUUUGAAUGGGAUAAAAGUUGUUUUUCAAAAAAGUUGACAUAGUGAUACUGAUACAUAACAAGUGACAAAGGUUUGCCUUUAGAGUUAUGUUAAAUGCUAACUCAUGAUCACAAGUGAUAAUAAAGAUAUUUACAAAGUUGAAACAGAAUAUGAAGUAUGUAUAUUUAAUUUGAUCCACUAUUAUUGUGGGAAGUUUCAGAUAAGAGUAUCAAACUUAUUCAAUUAGUUCUAAUCAAAUAAUUAGGUGACAAGAAAAAAAAUGGGCAUGUUGAUGUUCCUUUAUUUUUAGUAUUGAUAUAAAUUAAUUGAAAACAGUAUGAUUGAAAAUGGUUGGUUGAUUUGCAAUUAUAGUUUUCUUCUUCAAACUAAUACAACUUUUAUUUGAAAACAACUGGGCAUAGUAAUGAUAACUUUUUAUCGUGACAUAGGUUUAUAUUUUCGUAUCAUAAUAUCUCUGAUUUUAGUUUGUAAAUAACUGGGCAUAAAUUUGUUAAGUUGGUCAAUAGCUGAGGAUAACUAUUCACUAGAUUUACUUUAAAAAGUCCCACAUUGGGGGUAAAGACAUUUCCUAACAAAGGUGACUAUGUACUACUAGGGCUCGAAUGCAAGAUCUUUAGUUAAGAAUCAAAAAGUAUUUACCACUGUAUCACAACCCUCGUUGGUAGUAUACCCUGUUCGUGUAGAAGUCAUCCAUAGUAAUAGUGAUAGUUUCCCUUUUCAUUUUAGAAACUACUAUUUUCUUAAGAAAAAUGAUGUUUGGAGAAUACAUUUGGUCACUGUUCUUCAUCAGAUUCAGGCCAGUUGGAACAUAAAAUUUGGCAUUAAAACCUUCCAAAACAUUAAUUUAAACACUCAAAAUACUCUUCAGCUUCUUCUUCAUACACAUCUGAUAUAUGGACUUUUGAAGUCUGUCCUCUCCUGAGAAAUCUACUAUCUGUUUCUUAAUCUCAAUGGCUGAAUCUCCAACCUCACGCUUAUUAUCAGUUAAAUGAAUGGACUUUAAAGUGUGUAUAUGCAUAAAUGCACAAGGGAUCUCCCUAAGAUGGUCACAAUGAUUUAGUAUUAAUUCCUCAAGUUUGGGAAAAGUUUCCGUAUCAACUUGCCAUUCUGAAAGGUUGACCAUUAGCAAAGACAGAGUCUUAAGGCUUUGAUAGAUGUCCUCACUUGCGUCUCAUUCAUCCUCCACGAAUUUACAGUCCAUAAACUCUAGAAUUUCAAGCUCAGGCAAUGCCGCGAUUGCUGACAACAAAUCAGGUCUCAGCAGGGGAAAACUAUACAACCAUAACUCUUUCAACCUGUUAGGGAAGUAAUAUGCAUUGGGUACUUGUCGGAUUUGGUUUGUUAACUUGGGAUAUUCAAAGUAUCUGACAUCUUUGUAUAGGAUAAUCUGUAAAGAUGUUGCACUGAAGGUGCUAAAUUUUUGGGAACUUCUCCAGAACAUCACUCGUGGCUUCAUGAUCUGUAAUAACAACAUUGGAUAAAGUUGUCAAGUGUUCUAACUUUGGUUGAUGCAUAAUAUUGUCUGCAUCUAUUUCCUCUUCCUCUUUCUCUUCAAAGAAAGAACAAAAGUAAAUUUCCACAUGUUUCAGCUUUGACAGUUUUAAUAUUCUGGGCAGUAAUACCAUGGUGGAAUAUCUCGUUUUGAUGAAUAGAGUUUCUAGAUUCUGGAGGUUCAACCGCGACAGUGGGAUAACUUUAACAUCUCGAGUCUACGACACUGUCUCAGCAUGAAAGAUUAUUUUCUCUUGUUCGAAAAACCAUGUACUUUGUUGUACAUAUGCAGGUGAAUCAACUAACGAUGACCAACCAUUGAUUUAACACUCCCUAUUGUUUAACCAAAGUCUAAAUCCAUACCCGACUUAUCUCCAAGCAACAUGAAGCCUCCAAAUUUCAAUCUUGAAUCAGAAGACGAGUCCGAGGUCAACAACUGCCAAGUGGGUUCAAACAUUUCCGUCCAAGAAAUUCAUCCUGGUCCUUCCCUUAAUCUUCAGCAGGAAUCAGUUCCUGUUACUCUUGACUUGAUUCUUGGCUUCAACAGCAGUGACUCCGAGUGCUCGUGGCUUCAUGAUCUGUAAUAACAACAUUGGAUAAAGUUGUCAAGUGUUCUAACUUUGGUUGAUGCAUAAUAUUGUCUGCAUCUAUUUCCUCUUCCUCUUUCUCUUCAAAGAAAGAACAAAAGUAAAUUUCCACAUGUUUCAGCUUUGACAGUUUUAAUAUUCUGGGCAGUAAUACCAUGGUGGAAUAUCUCGUUUUGAUGAAUAGAGUUUCUAGAUUCUGGAGGUUCAACCGCGACAGUGGGAUAACUUUAACAUCUCGAGUCUACGACACUGUCUCAGCAUGAAAGAUUAUUUUCUCUUGUUCGAAAAACCAUGUACUUUGUUGUACAUAUGCAGGUGAAUCAACUAACGAUGACCAACCAUUGAUUUAACACUCCCUAUUGUUUAACCAAAGUCUAAAUCCAUACCCGACUUAUCUCCAAGCAACAUGAAGCCUCCAAAUUUCAAUCUUGAAUCAGAAGACGAGUCCGAGGUCAACAACUGCCAAGUGGGUUCAAACAUUUCCGUCCAAGAAAUUCAUCCUGGUCCUUCCCUUAAUCUUCAGCAGGAAUCAGUUCCUGUUACUCUUGACUUGAUUCUUGGCUUCAACAGCUGUGACUCCGAGUUGAAAGCCAACGGAGAGGCGAGUGACGAAGUAGUACCCCAUCCUCCAACGGCAGCACUAUCCAGAGUUUUCUCGUGCAAUUUCUGCAGGCGCAAGUUUUACAGCUCACAGGCGUUGGGCGGACAUCAGAACGCACAUAAGAGGGAGAGGACUUUAGCUAAGAGAGCAAUGCGGAUGGGAAUGUUAUCGGACAGGUACGCUAGCUUAGCAUCAUUGCCCCUUCACGGGACUGCAUUUCGAUCUCUUGGCGUUGAAGCUCAUGCUUCCGCACACCAACGCAUCUCGCACCAAGAAACGCCUAUUCAUGCAGUUAGAAGCGGGGCUAGAUUUGAACAAGGCUAUUUCGGGAUGCCAGUAUUCGUGGAGGAUGAUGAAGUGGAGGUGUUCUGGCCCGGUAGCUUCAGGCAAAUAGAGGGAAUUGGUGGCAAUAUGGGGUAUAAUUCAGGGCAAAGUUCAAGCAUAAAUUUUGUAGCUGUAGCUCCUCAAACUAGGACAGAUCAAACAUUGCCUGAUCUUAAUUUGAAACUCUGAUGGUCUUUUUUUUUUUGCAUUCUAUUCUACUUUUUUGUAUCAGAAUUUUCAUAAUUGUGGUAUUACAUUAGUGCUCUAUUUGUACAGGAGGUGAAUAUUUGAGACUGUCUUGAGCUUUCAAUUUUGAAUCUUUUUCAUUCCCAAAUUUGUUUAGUUGACCAACUUAUUGUACAACUAGUCUAUGGGAACGUGCGUUGCACGUUUGUUCCUUAACACUAUUAUAGAACUUUGAUAUAUUUAAAAAAAAUUAAGUUAUGAAAUAGCAAAUUUUAAAAUUAACAAUAUUAAUUUUAUAUUUGUAUUUUAUUCAUUAAAUAAAUUACAUAAAAGUGGGACAUGACAUUUUUCAUGAAACAAAAAAUAUGUGAAGUCAAUUAUGACAGUAUAGUCUCUAAUGGUCUAAAUAUGUCGAUGAAUUGUUGAAUUGAAAAUUAAUAAAUUCAUGUAAAUGUCUCUAACGAAAUUUUCAAAUACAUGAACAUACGAACAAAUACCAAAAACGUAAAAUAAUAAUACUGAAAUUUUAUCAUAGUAACAAAAAUAAUAUGUAUAUCCAUUCACUAAAAUUACACGCUAGCUCUAAAUUUUAUAAUCCAAAUGGGUUGACAAACAAAGUUAGUUAAUUGUAUGACAAAAACAAGAGUCAUACACUUGAUCUUGAUAUAAUGUAAGAUCUCCAAAAAUGGUCAAAAAUACAAAAGCACAUAUUAUAUUAUAUAUAUGAAUAAAGCCUUUUAAUUCACAUUGCUUUACACUAAUGAAGACGAUGAUAAUUUAUUAUCGAUUUAUCAUGUUUACAAAUUGGUAGCUCAUAAAUCAAACAAUAAUACAUAAUUCGAUUCAGAAAAAAUCCAAAAGAAAAGAAAAAUAUAUAAAGUCUAAUUAACUUGACACUCACAAUACCCUUCAAUUGUUAAAACGUGUAGUGUGGUGAUAUUGUAAUUAAUAGAGGCUGCACAUAAAACUAAAAACAAAUAAAUACCACCUUAAUUGUUAAAAAACAUGACUUUUGAGCUUCUUGAAACCAAAUUAAUAAAGAAAUAAAGAAAAUAUAGUAGAAAAAUAUAAAGAGACAUUCAGGGUUCUUUUAAAAUAUUAAAUAAAUAAUAGAAAAUUAAUAACAAAAGAGAAAGGAAAAAUUUAAUGCACAGCAAAAUAGAGUUUAACACCAUUUUAUUCCUCUAGACGCAUUGAGUCGUUGAGAUAUACGACGUUUCAGUCAUCAUUAAAAAUUGAAAUGAAAACACUUAAAAGCACAUUUAAUAUUAUAAUUAAAAAUUUAAAUGAUUGUUUUGAAGUUCUUUUACUCUAGCAUAAUAUAUUGUAUAUGUUCACAAUAAGUAUUACACGGAAAAGUAACUCCGGAAAAUUGAAAAGAAUACAAUAAAUUUAGUUUCUCAACUAAAUAAUUCAUUCUAAAUAUUUAAUGUUCUAAUAAUAUUUAUUAUAAUAUAAGUUUAUUUUUUUAAUAAAUAAAAUAUUUAUAGAAAUAAUUUUAGCUUGAGGGUAAAAUGGUAAUCCAACUUUGAUUAUUGAAGCUUCCCACUUAUAAUAAUAUAUGAUAUGAUUAUAUGAUGUUAUUCAAAAUACAGAUUUGGGACUGUGGUGAUUUUUUUUAGUUUAUGCAAACCUUUAACUUCCUCCCAUUUUAACCAUGUUUAUUAUUAUUCGCUAGAUUCACUUCAGAAAGUCUCACAUUGAGGGUAAGACAUACAUUCCCUAACAAAAGGGACUCUAUAUCCGGUAUGGCUUAAACGCGAGACCUCUAAUUAAGGAUCAAAGAGUACUACCACUCCACCACAAUGCUUGUUGGCAGUAGUCAUCUAAUUAUCCAUAUUCUUAAAAAAAAAAGAGGGAUAGUUGCCUUUUUCAUGUUCUUGAAAAAAAAAAGGGGGAAUUGUCCAUUGAUGACUGUUCUUCAUCAGAUUCAGGCCAAAUGGGACAUAUAUUGAUUCACAAUUUGGCAUUGAAACCUUCCAAUUGAAAACCUAGAAUCUUAUAUGAGAGAUUACAGACAAAAUAAGAUUCAUAACUAACAAAAAACAGGAAAGAAAACACACAACACAUUAAAUUAAAAUAUAUCCAAAACCAGCAAUGAAAAAAACCAGUAACAAGUUUGUUUAUUGGAAGCAGUAAUCAGAUGGAAGCGUCGCGUUGUUUCUUUCUUCAUUGUUGUUCUAUCCUUGAGUCCUUUGGGCAUUCUGCAAAUCAUAUAUAGUAUGAUUUAAAUUAAAUGAAGUAUAUAUGUAUGUAGGGGUAACGAUAUAAGAAUUAAUUACCUCUUCUUCAGCCUCUUCUUCAGCUUCUUCUUCAGCCUCUUCUUCAUCUUCUUCUUCAGUCUCUUCUUCAUCUUCUUCUUCAUACAAAUCUUCUAUAUGGACUUGAGGUCUGUCCUCUCCUGUGAAAGCUUCUACUUGUUUCUUAAUCUCAAUGGCUGAAUCUCCAAUCUCACGCUUAUUAUUAGUUAAAUGAAUGGACUUUAAAGUGUGUAUAUCUAUAAAUGCAGAAGGGAUCUCCGUAAGCUUGUAACAAUGUUCUAGUCUUAAUUCCUCAAGCUUGGGAAAGGUUUCCAUAUCAAAUUGCCAUUCCGAAUGAUUGACCACUUGCAUAGACAAAGUUUUAAGACUUUGAUAGAUAUCCUCACUUGCGUCCCACUUGUCCUCUAUGAAUUCACAGUCAAUAAACUCCAGAAUUUCAAGCUCAGGCAAUGCCGUGAUUAAUGACAACAAAUCAGGUCUCAGGGGAAAACCAUACAACCGUAACUCUUUCAAGCUGUUAGGGAAGUAAUAUUCAUUGGGUUGUCGGAUUUUGUCUGCUAACUCGGGAUAGCCAACAUUCUCGUACAUUGCAAUGAGUGAUUCAAGUUUAUCAAGGACAUCAAACUUGGGAAACCAAUCACCCUGUGUAAGAGGAUCUAUCGGUUCCUUGAUGUGGCAAUGAAGGUGCUGAAGAUUUGGGAACUUCUCUAGAACAUCACUCGNNNNNNNNNNNNNNNNNNNNNNNNNNNNNNNNNNNNNNNNNNNNNNNNNNNNNGUUGUCAAGUCUUCUAACUUUGAAUUCUCAGCUUCCAAUAUUCUACUUGGUUGAUGCAUAAUAUUGUCCACAUCCAUUACAUCCUCUUCAAAGAAAGAACUCAUGUCAAUUUUCACAUGUUUCAGCUUUGACAGUUUGAAUAUUAUAGGAAGUAAUACCAUGGUGGAAUAUCCAGUAUUGAUCAACAAAGUUUCCAGAUUCUGGAGGUUCAACCACGACAAUGGGAUAGCUUUUACAUCUUGAGUUCGAAUCCUUAAGAACCUCAAAUGAAAUAGGGAGCCUAUUUCUUCCAUUAAAGAAUCUUCCAGAAUAAUGCUAUCCAGUUGCAACACUCUAGCAAGUCCAAAAGGUCUUGUAUGGCAGAUAUAGCUGGAGUUAAGAGGCCAACCGCUAACUUUCAAAGAUAUGAGAUGCUUACUACCAGCUGAACACUUAUUAGAAUUGAACAAAACACAUUUUUUGUGGAGUUGACUGUCGUAAAUAUGAAUGGUUAGACGAUGAUGUAGGAAAUCCGAAGCAUGAAAUCGAGCACCUGGAUUCAUUAACUUGAAAAACUUUGCCUUUAUAGAUUUUUCUAAACAAAAAUCGUGCACAACAUCAUGCACAUAGCAAACCUUGAUCCUAACAGAAAAAGGCAUACUCUUCUUGGAGGGGAUUUGAUCCACCAUUAUCAGGCUACUGGAAACUAAAGCAUCCAAGUCACUUUGAGUUGCUUCCUCUAAACUACUCUUGGAUCGGAUAUCAUGAUCCACAAACCCUUCGGCCAUCCACAACUGCUUUAACUUAGAGACCGGAGUUCGUUUGUUCUUUUGUGAUCUUGCGAAGUAAAGCAACAAUGGCUUCAGGUGGCAUGGUAAAUGGUCAUAACUUAAUUGCAUAACCUUCAUCAUCUGCAAAUUGAUGUUGGCAGAAAUAAAGGAAUCCAGAUUAUCUUGAAUCUUAAGCCACAAAU
This 37708-nucleotide long non-coding RNA is filed under the name Solanum tuberosum (potato). Its description in RNAcentral is "long non-coding RNA (STUB_LNC004311)". Lineage: Eukaryota; Viridiplantae; Streptophyta; Magnoliopsida; Solanales; Solanaceae. The record is from RNAcentral.